CAGCCGCCACGGGAAUACGGAGGGGGCUAGCGUUGUUCGGAAUUACUGGGCGUAAAGCGCACGUAGGCGGCUUUGUAAGUUAGAGGUGAAAGCCCGGAGCUCAACUCCGGAAUUGCCUUUAAGACUGCAGAGCUAGCAGGUGAGAGAGGUGAGUGGAAUUCCGAGUGUAGAGGUGAAAUUCGUAGAUAUUCGGAAGAACACCAGUGGCGAAGGCGGCUCACUGGCUCAUACUGGACGCUGAGGUGCGAAAGCGUGGGGAGCAAACAGGAUUAGAUACCCGCGUAGUCCCUGUCUCUUAUAC
Molecule: ribosomal RNA, 301 nt
Filed under: uncultured bacterium
Lineage: Bacteria
Description: partial 16S ribosomal RNA
Rfam family: Bacterial small subunit ribosomal RNA
Source: RNAcentral